This 487-nucleotide long non-coding RNA is filed under the name Numida meleagris (helmeted guineafowl). RNAcentral describes it as "lncRNA (ENSNMEG00000004027.1)". Lineage: Eukaryota; Metazoa; Chordata; Aves; Galliformes; Numididae. The record is from RNAcentral.
CUUAGGUUGGAGGGGACCUUAAAGAUCAUCGAGCUCCAAACCUCCUGCCAGAGGCAGGGUUGCCACCCAGCAGAUCAGGCUGUCCCGGAUUCCACCCAACCGGGCCUUGAAUGCCUCCAGAGAUUGGGCAUCCACAACGUCUCUGGGCAAUCAAGGCAAUCAGUAGCCUGAAAGCGCUGUAAACUGAUCCUGAUCGCUAUUAGGUGUUUAAUGGAAGGUGGCAAGCACCUGUAAGCACUAUGCUGAGUGCUGCUUGGUUCUGCCUUUUAGGAGAGGAAGGAAGUGCAUUCUUGUAAUUUGGGCUCUGGAUUCAGCUGAGAGGCAGGAGUACCAAUGUUUUCUUUUUAGAUCUGAGGAGAGCUACCUGAAGCAGUCCGUUCCAGUACCAUCUAAAGGGAAAGAUAGUACGUUGUUUCAACUGAGAACGGAAUUUACUUUGCUACCAGAAGUGCUUGAACAAUUUUUUGGUAACCUUCUUUGUCCUUGA